RNAcentral lists this ribosomal RNA (553 nucleotides) under uncultured bacterium. RNAcentral describes it as "bacterial LSU rRNA". It matches the Rfam family "Bacterial large subunit ribosomal RNA", at positions 415 to 974 of the family's 2925-position model. The record is from RNAcentral.
CCAUGGGGCACGAGCAACCCCGUGGGAAUCUGGGAGGACCAUCUUCCAAGGCUAAGUACGUUCAGGUGACCGAUAGUGAACUAGUACCGUGAGGGAAAGGUGAAAAGUACCCCGAGAGGGGAGUGAAAAGUCCCUGAAACCGUGUGUCUACGAACGGUAGGAGCCGCAAGGCGACUGCGUACCUUUUGCAUAAUGAGUCAGCGAGUUAUCCGUUGCAGCAAGGUUAAGCCGACAGGUGUAGCCGUAGGGAAACCGAGUCUUAAAUGGGCGUUUAGUUGCAGCGGAUAGACCCGAAGCCAGGUGAUCUAUCCAUGGUCAGGCUGAAGCGGGAGUAAAGCCCCGUGGAGGGCCGAACCCACUGAAGUUGAAAAUUCAGGGGAUGAACUGUGGAUGGGGGGUGAAAGGCCAAUCAAACCUGGCAAUAGCUGGUUCUCCUCGAAAUGUAUUGACGUACAGCCUCGGAAAUUGCGCCGGUGGAGGUAAAGCACUGAAUGGGCUAGGGGUCUACCCAGGCUACCAAACCCAAUCAAACUCUGAAUACCAUCGAGCGACA